UUGAAGAGUUUGAUCAUGGCUCAGAUUGAACGCUGGCGGCAGGCCUAACACAUGCAAGUCGAGCGGUAGCACAGAGAGCUUGCUCUCGGGUGACGAGCGGCGGACGGGUGAGUAAUGUCUGGGAAACUGCCUGAUGGAGGGGGAUAACUACUGGAAACGGUAGCUAAUACCGCAUAAUGUCGCAAGACCAAAGUGGGGGACCUUCGGGCCUCAUGCCAUCAGAUGUGCCCAGAUGGGAUUAGCUAGUAGGUGGGGUAACGGCUCACCUAGGCGACGAUCCCUAGCUGGUCUGAGAGGAUGACCAGCCACACUGGAACUGAGACACGGUCCAGACUCCUACGGGAGGCAGCAGUGGGGAAUAUUGCACAAUGGGCGCAAGCCUGAUGCAGCCAUGCCGCGUGUGUGAAGAAGGCCUUCGGGUUGUAAAGCACUUUCAGCGGGGAGGAAGGCGAUAAGGUUAAUAACCUUGUCGAUUGACGUUACCCGCAGAAGAAGCACCGGCUAACUCCGUGCCAGCAGCCGCGGUAAUACGGAGGGUGCAAGCGUUAAUCGGAAUUACUGGGCGUAAAGCGCACGCAGGCGGUCUGUCAAGUCGGAUGUGAAAUCCCCGGGCUUAACCUGGGAACUGCAUUCGAAACUGGCAGGCUAGAGUCUUGUAGAGGGGGGUAGAAUUCCAGGUGUAGCGGUGAAAUGCGUAGAGAUCUGGAGGAAUACCGGUGGCGAAGGCGGCCCCCUGGACAAAGACUGACGCUCAGGUGCGAAAGCGUGGGGAGCAAACAGGAUUAGAUACCCUGGUAGUCCACGCCGUAAACGAUGUCGAUUUGGAGGUUGUGCCCUUGAGGCGUGGCUUCCGGAGCUAACGCGUUAAAUCGACCGCCCGGGAGUACGGCCGCAAGGUUAAAACUCAAAUGAAUUGACGGGGCCCGCACAAGCGGUGGAGCAUGUGGUUUAAUUCGAUGCAACGCGAAGAACCUUACCUGGUCUUGACAUCCACAGAACUUUCCAGAGAUGGAUUGGUGCCUUCGGGAACUGUGAGACAGGUGCUGCAUGGCUGUCGUCAGCUCGUGUUGUGAAAUGUUGGGUUAAGUCCCGCAACGAGCGCAACCCUUAUCCUUUGUUGCCAGCGGUUAGGCCGGGAACUCAAAGGAGACUGCCAGUGAUAAACUGGAGGAAGGUGGGGAUGACGUCAAGUCAUCAUGGCCCUUACGACCAGGGCUACACACGUGCUACAAUGGCAUAUACAAAGAGAAGCGACCUCGCGAGAGCAAGCGGACCUCAUAAAGUAUGUCGUAGUCCGGAUUGGAGUCUGCAACUCGACUCCAUGAAGUCGGAAUCGCUAGUAAUCGUAGAUCAGAAUGCUACGGUGAAUACGUUCCCGGGCCUUGUACACACCGCCCGUCACACCAUGGGAGUGGGUUGCAAAAGUAGGUAGCUUAACCUUCGGGAGGGCGCUUACCACUUUGUGAUUCAUGACUGGGGUGAAGUCGUAACAAGGUAACCGUAGGGGAACCUGCGGUUGGAUCACCUCCUU
This 1531-nucleotide ribosomal RNA is filed under the name Klebsiella pneumoniae. RNAcentral describes it as "bacterial SSU rRNA". It matches the Rfam family "Bacterial small subunit ribosomal RNA". The record is from RNAcentral. Lineage: Bacteria; Pseudomonadati; Pseudomonadota; Gammaproteobacteria; Enterobacterales; Enterobacteriaceae.